Antechinus flavipes (yellow-footed antechinus) is the source of this 670-nucleotide long non-coding RNA. RefSeq lists it as uncharacterized. The record is from RefSeq and is a predicted model, not a curated record. Lineage: Eukaryota; Metazoa; Chordata; Mammalia; Dasyuromorphia; Dasyuridae. The transcript has 3 exons.
GAAAGGGCAAGAAGUCUCUGAGAUGUAUAGUGCAGAGGAUGCUGGGGCUUAUCUAGUAAAGAGUGUCCUUUUUUGCAGGGAAGGUCACUGUGACUUAGAUGUUUUAGUGACACCAUAAUGGUGGUAAAGGAAAAGAUUCCAUAUUGGAAUAAAGGUCUUUGAACAACUUUGCCAUGGUAUCACACUGAUUUCACAUGGUUGAUGUGUGAAUAAUAAUAAUGAUUAUAAUAAUAACAAUAAUGUGUAAUUACUUGGUUCUCCCAGGGAAGCUGCCAAAGAACAACAGAAAGGUCAUCAUUAAAGUACCAGAAGUCAAGAGUCAGACCAGGAAGAGCCUUCUUACUGAAACAGACAAUGGGAAAGUUCCAAAUACAAUGAAUUCAUAACUUCACAAAUGAGAGAUUUUCAGGCCGCUCUGCAGACAUCUCCUAAUGGGCAAAGAAGGCCUCUUGUUCAUGCAUUAUUUGUCACUAAGUGCCUUGUCACUGGAAUAAGAAAUCUUUUGUGCCUUAAAAGGACACAUUCCAUGUUGUCUAUUGAAGCUCACUUUCCUCUGGAGUUUGCAGAGAGAGACCAUCACAAUGGGUGAGAACUUUGGUAAUUAAGCCAUAAGUCAAUAAGCAUUUACUAAAUGCCUACUAUGUUCUAGACCCUGUAUUCGUUAUUGGGA